UACAGAGGGGGCGAGCGUUGUUCGGAAUUACUGGGCGUAAAGGGCGCGUAGGUGGCCUUGUUAGUCAGACGUGAAAUCCCCAAGCUUAACUUGGGAACUGCGUCUGAUACUGCAAGGCUUGAGUUCGGGAGAGGGAUGUGGAAUUCCAGGUGUAGCGGUGAAAUGCGUAGAUAUCUGGAGGAACACCGGUGGCGAAGGCGGCAUCCUGGACCGAAACUGACACUGAGGCGCGAAAGCUAGGGGAGCAAACGGG
This 253-nucleotide ribosomal RNA is filed under the name uncultured bacterium. RNAcentral's name for it is "partial 16S ribosomal RNA". It matches the Rfam family "Bacterial small subunit ribosomal RNA", at positions 524 to 776 of the family's 1533-position model. The record is from RNAcentral.